GACACUUCUGAUUGAAGGCAUGGAAUCAAACAACUUAGGACUUGUUGGUCUGAUGAGCCAGCAUAUGUCACACAAUGCCCUAUUCAGACAGGACAAAGCUUUGUUUACAACUUUACCAUUACAGGUCAAAGAGGCACACUUCUAUGGCAUGCACAUAUCACUUGGCUAAGGGCUACAAUGCAUGGUGCUAUUGUCAUUUUGCCUAAAAGAGGCACUCCUUAUCCAUUUCCUAAACCUGACAAAGAAAAGAUAAUCAUUCUAGGUGAAUGGUGGAAAUCAGAUGUUGAAGCUGACUAAGUCCAGGCCAAACCACAAAUGUUCUUCUAACUGCAAACCAACCUAUUGGCAAAUACUUAAUAGCAAUAAC
RNAcentral lists this long non-coding RNA (367 nucleotides) under Medicago truncatula (barrel medic). RNAcentral describes it as "lncRNA gene32565". The record is from RNAcentral. Lineage: Eukaryota; Viridiplantae; Streptophyta; Magnoliopsida; Fabales; Fabaceae.